This 417-nucleotide ribosomal RNA is filed under the name Halice quarta. RNAcentral's name for it is "partial 16S ribosomal RNA". The record is from RNAcentral. Lineage: Eukaryota; Metazoa; Arthropoda; Malacostraca; Amphipoda; Pardaliscidae.
UAGCAAAAUCAUUUGUUUUUUAAUUAAGAACGGGAAUGAAUGGUUUGACAAUAAUAAACUUUAAUUUUUUUUAAAGUCAAAAAAUUUUUAGUUUAAGUAAAAAUGCUUAAAUAAAUUAGAGGGACGAUAAGACCCUAAAAGCUUUUUUUAGGCAAUAAUUUAAAAGUAAUUUUAUUUAGAUAAAAUUAACUGGGGAAGUAGUUAUUUAUAUAUAAUAAUUUAUUUUACAGAAAAAAUGGUAUAUGAUCUUUUAAAUAAGAAUAAAUUGAGUUAGUUACUUUAGGGAUAACAGCAUAAUAGUUUUGAAGAGUUCUUAUUUAUAAAACUGAUUAUGACCUCGAUGUUGAAUUAAAAAUUCUUAACAAGGAAAAAGGUGUUAGAGAAGGUUUGUUCAACCUUUAAAUUUUUACAUGAUUU